GAUGAACGCUGGCGGCGUGCUUAACACAUGCAAGUCGAACGGAAAGGCCCAAGCUUGCUUGGGUACUCGAGUGGCGAACGGGUGAGUAACACGUGGGUGAUCUGCCCUGCACUUCGGGAUAAGCCUUGGAAACUGGGUCUAAUACCGGAUAGGACCACAUUUUGGAUGGUGUGGUGGAAAGUUUUUCGGUGUGGGAUGAGCUCGCGGCCUAUCAGCUUGUUGGUGGGGUAAUGGCCUACCAAGGCGUCGACGGGUAGCCGGCCUGAGAGGGUGUACGGACACAUUGGGACUGAGAGACGGCCCAGACUCCUACGGGAGGCAGCAGUGGGGAAUAUUGCACAAUGGGCGCAAGCCUGAUGCAGCGACGCCGCGUGGGGGAUGAAGGCCUUCGGGUUGUAAACUCCUUUCGCUAGGGACGAAGCGUUUUUGUGACGGUACCUGGAGAAGAAGCACCGGCUAACUACGUG
This 467-nucleotide ribosomal RNA is filed under the name uncultured bacterium. RNAcentral's name for it is "partial 16S ribosomal RNA". It matches the Rfam family "Bacterial small subunit ribosomal RNA", at positions 28 to 507 of the family's 1533-position model. The record is from RNAcentral.